UAGGUAGUUUCAUGUUGUUGGGAUCCAUUUUCUACCUCUACAACACGAAACUGUCUGA
Salmo trutta (river trout) is the source of this 58-nucleotide microRNA precursor. The record is from Ensembl. NCBI's taxonomy places the organism in Eukaryota, Metazoa, Chordata, Actinopteri, Salmoniformes, Salmonidae.